GGUGUUUACUGUCGAACUGAACACUCUACCGUUUACUGUCUGGUGGUGCUCUUCACCGAGUGUCACCAGUGGUCGGUACGUUUACUUUGAAAAAAUUAGAGUGCUCAAAGCGGUUUUUACACGACCGAAUACUGUUGCAUGGAUAUGACAUAGACUUGUCUAUUUGUUGUCUCGGACCCAAGGUAAUGAUAAGAGGGACAGACGGGGGCAUUAGUAUUGCGACGCUAGAGGUGAAAUUCUUGGACCGUCGCAAGACUAACUAAAGCGAAAGCAUUUGCCAAGAAUGUUUUCAUUAAUCAAGAACGAAAGUAGAGGUUCGAAGGCGAUCAGAUACCGCCCUAGUUCUAACCAUAAACGAUGCCAACCAGCAAUCAGCCUGUGUUCUCUUGAUGACACGGCUGGCGGCUUCCGGGAAACCAAAGUCUUUCGGUUCCAGGGGAAGUAUGGUUGCAAAGCUGAAACUUAAAGGAAUUGACGGAAGGGCACCACCAGGAGUGGAGCCUGCGGCUUAAUUUGACUCAACACGGGGAAACUCACCCGGCCCGGACACUGUGAGGAUUGACAGGUUGAAGCCCUUUCUUGAUUCAGUGGGUGGUGGUGCAUGGCCGUUCUUAGUUGGUGGAGUGAUUUGUCUGGUUAAUUCCGAUAACGAACGAGACUCUAGCCUACUAAUUAGACCGUGGCGUCCUCGUGCCGCCACGGCGCUUCCUAGAGGGACAGACGG
This 724-nucleotide ribosomal RNA is filed under the name uncultured eukaryote. RNAcentral's name for it is "SSU rRNA". It matches the Rfam family "Eukaryotic small subunit ribosomal RNA", at positions 671 to 1426 of the family's 1831-position model. The record is from RNAcentral.